UACGUAGGGUGCGAGCGUUAAUCGGAAUUACUGGGCGUAAAGGGUGCGCAGGCGGUUAUAUAAGACAGAUGUGAAAUCCCCGGGCUCAACCUGGGAACUGCGUUUGUGACUGUAUGACUAGAGUACGGUAGAGAGGGGUGGAAUUCCUGGUGUAGCAGUGAAAUGCGUAGAUAUCAGGAGGAACAUCGAUGGCGAAGGCAGCCCCUUGGACCUGUACUGACGCU
RNAcentral lists this ribosomal RNA (224 nucleotides) under uncultured bacterium. RNAcentral describes it as "partial 16S ribosomal RNA". It matches the Rfam family "Bacterial small subunit ribosomal RNA", at positions 524 to 747 of the family's 1533-position model. The record is from RNAcentral.